UAGGGAACGUGAAAGGACCGACCUUCGGGAGCGUUAUACAGGUGUUGCAUGGCUGUCGUCAGCUCGUGUCGUGAGAUGUUCGGUUAAGUCCGCUAACGAGCGCAACCCUCGCCGUAUGUUACAAGUGUCAUACGGGACUGCCGGUAAAAAGCCGGAGGAAGGUGAGGAUGAUGUCAAGUCAGCAUGACCUUUAUAUCCAGGGCUACACACACGCUACAAUGGUCUGUACAAUUGGUUGCCAAGCCGCGAGGCGGAGCCAAUCCGUAAAGCAGGCCUCAGUUCAGAUUGCAGUCUGCAACUCGACUGCAUGAAACCGGAGUUGCUAGUAACCGCAGGUCAGCAAUACUGCGGUGAAUACGUUCCCGGGUCUU
This 371-nucleotide ribosomal RNA is filed under the name uncultured Anaerolineaceae bacterium. Its description in RNAcentral is "bacterial SSU rRNA". It matches the Rfam family "Bacterial small subunit ribosomal RNA", at positions 993 to 1382 of the family's 1533-position model. Lineage: Bacteria; Bacillati; Chloroflexota; Anaerolineae; Anaerolineales; Anaerolineaceae. The record is from RNAcentral.